GACGAACGCUGGCGGCGUGCUUAACACAUGCAAGUCGAACGGAAAGGCCCUGCUUUUGUGGGGUGCUCGAGUGGCGAACGGGUGAGUAACACGUGAGUAACCUGCCCUUGACUUUGGGAUAACUUCAGGAAACUGGGGCUAAUACCGGAUAGGAGCUCCUGCUGCAUGGUGGGGGUUGGAAAGUUUCGGCGGUUGGGGAUGGACUCGCGGCUUAUCAGCUUGUUGGUGGGGUAGUGGCUUACCAAGGCUUUGACGGGUAGCCGGCCUGAGAGGGUGAACGGACACAUGGGGACUGAGAUACGGCCCAGACUCCUACGGGAGGCAGCAGUGGGGAAUAUUGCACAAUGGGCGGAAGCCUGAUGCAGCAACGCCGCGUGCGGGAUGACGGCCUUCGGGGUGUAAACCGCUUUCGCCUGUGACGAAGCGUGAGUGACGGUAAUGGGUAAAGAAGCACCGGCUAACUACGUG
Molecule: ribosomal RNA, 468 nt
Filed under: uncultured bacterium
Lineage: Bacteria
Description: partial 16S ribosomal RNA
Rfam family: Bacterial small subunit ribosomal RNA
Source: RNAcentral